CGGUUCUUGCUGCGCUCAGAACUGGAAAAAGCAUUUCAAUGCACCUUCCCACAUUUGCAGGAAGAUUAUGUCUUCCCCUCUUUCCAAAGAGCUGAGACAGAACUACAAUGUGCGGUCUAUGCCCAUCUGGAAGGAUGAUGAGGUGCAGGUUGUACGAGGACACUAUAAAGGUCAGCAGAUUGGCAAAGUCGUCCAGGUAUACAGGAAGAAGUAUGUCAUCUACAGUGAAUGGGUACAGUGGG
Molecule: long non-coding RNA, 242 nt
Organism: Dipodomys spectabilis (banner-tailed kangaroo rat)
Lineage: Eukaryota; Metazoa; Chordata; Mammalia; Rodentia; Heteromyidae
Exons: 3
Source: RefSeq, a predicted model, not a curated record